UACCAGCACCCCCGAGUGGUCGGGACGAUUAUUGGGCCUAAAGCAUCCGUAGCCGGCCUUACAAGUCCUCCGUUAAAUCCAGCUGCUUAACAGAUGGGCUGCGGAGGAUACUAUAAGACUAGGAGGCAGGAGAGGCAAGCGGUACUCAGUGGGUAGGGGUAAAAUCCGUUGAUCCAUUGAAGACCACCAGUGGCGAAGGCGGCUUGCCAGAAUGCGC
RNAcentral lists this ribosomal RNA (217 nucleotides) under uncultured bacterium. RNAcentral describes it as "partial 16S ribosomal RNA". It matches the Rfam family "Archaeal small subunit ribosomal RNA", at positions 474 to 690 of the family's 1478-position model. The record is from RNAcentral.